This 248-nucleotide long non-coding RNA is filed under the name Bos taurus (domestic cattle). Its description in RNAcentral is "long non-coding RNA NONBTAT010914". Lineage: Eukaryota; Metazoa; Chordata; Mammalia; Artiodactyla; Bovidae. The record is from RNAcentral.
AAGUACACAUUAAGUUAAAUAUUGCUGCUAUUACCUUGAAUCAGACUUGAAAAGACCUACAUAUAUAGAAACCUGUUACAUCAUUAUAAACCAAUAGGGAAAGGAGUGACUUUUUUGAAAAAUUGUAUUUGAUUAUCCUCUUGGAUAUAUUUGAGUUAAAGUGUUGAGAUUAAUAUUUUAAAACUCAAAUGAAUAUAUUCAACAUUUUUUAGACCUCAGAAUAGGAAAAUUAUUUAAAUAAGACAAAG